GGCGGCCCACUACCCGACGGUUACAGGCAUCGCUAUCAAUCUGUUGCCCUCUCCGUCUAUAAAAAGGGAGACCCUAGAUACGUUAUUUUAUAAGCUUUCAUUUUUUACCUAAAAACUCUGCUAAAUUCUCCGUUCGAGCACUCCAUUCUUGUUGAGGCAGAGAACUGACUUGAGCGUCGGAGGGUCUUGCCGGAGCAACCCCACCUCCGAUU
Molecule: long non-coding RNA, 212 nt
Filed under: Elaeis guineensis (African oil palm)
Lineage: Eukaryota; Viridiplantae; Streptophyta; Magnoliopsida; Arecales; Arecaceae
Description: long non-coding RNA (EGUI_LNC018939)
Source: RNAcentral